AGUGAACGCUGGCGGUAGGCCUAACACAUGCAAGUCGAACGGCAGCACAGUAAGAGCUUGCUCUUACGGGUGGCGAGUGGCGGACGGGUGAGGAAUACAUCGGAAUCUACUUUUUCGUGGGGGAUAACGUAGGGAAACUUACGCUAAUACCGCAUACGACCUACGGGUGAAAGCAGGGGAUCUUCGGACCUUGCGCGAUUGAAUGAGCCGAUGUCGGAUUAGCUAGUUGGCGGGGUAAAGGCCCACCAAGGCGACGAUCCGUAGCUGGUCUGAGAGGAUGAUCAGCCACACUGGAAGUGAGACACGGUCCAGACUCCUACGGGAGGCAGCAGUGGGGAAUAUUGGACAAUGGGCGCAAGCCUGAUCCAGCCAUACCGCGUGGGUGGAGAAGGACUUCGGGUUGUAAAGCCCUUUUGUUGGGAAAGAAAAGCAGCAGGUUAAUACCCCGCUGUUCUGACGGUACCCAAAGAAUAAGCACCGGCUAACUUCGUG
RNAcentral lists this ribosomal RNA (492 nucleotides) under uncultured bacterium. RNAcentral's name for it is "partial 16S ribosomal RNA". It matches the Rfam family "Bacterial small subunit ribosomal RNA", at positions 29 to 507 of the family's 1533-position model. The record is from RNAcentral.